ACUCCUACGGGAGGCAGCAGUGGGGAAUAUUGCACAAUGGGCGCAAGCCUGAUGCAGCCAUGCCGCGUGUGUGAAGAAGGCCUUCGGGUUGUAAAGCACUCUCAGCGGGGAGGAAGGCGAUAAGGUUAAUAACCUUGUCGAUUGACGUUACCCGCAGAA
RNAcentral lists this ribosomal RNA (159 nucleotides) under uncultured bacterium. RNAcentral describes it as "partial 16S ribosomal RNA". It matches the Rfam family "Bacterial small subunit ribosomal RNA", at positions 335 to 486 of the family's 1533-position model. The record is from RNAcentral.